RNAcentral lists this ribosomal RNA (424 nucleotides) under uncultured bacterium. RNAcentral's name for it is "bacterial SSU rRNA". It matches the Rfam family "Bacterial small subunit ribosomal RNA", at positions 355 to 776 of the family's 1533-position model. The record is from RNAcentral.
UGAGGAAUAUUGGUCAAUGGACGCAAGUCUGAACCAGCCAUGCCGCGUGCAGGAAGACGGCUCUAUGAGUUGUAAACUGCUUUUGUACGAGGGUAAACGCAGAUACGUGUAUCUGUCUGAAAGUAUCGUACGAAUAAGGAUCGGCUAACUCCGUGCCAGCAGCCGCGGUAAUACGGAGGAUUCAAGCGUUAUCCGGAUUUAUUGGGUUUAAAGGGUGCGUAGGCGGUUUGAUAAGUUGGAGGUGAAAUGUUAGGGCUUAACCCUGAAACUGCCUCCAAUACUGUUGGACUAGAGAGUAGUUGCGGUAGGCGGAAUGUAUGGUGUAGCGGUGAAAUGCUUAGAGAUCAUACAGAACACCGAUUGCGAAGGCAGCUUACCAAACUAUAUCUGACGUUGAGGCACGAAAGCGUGGGGAGCAAACAGG